GAUGAACGCUGGCGGCGUGCCUAAUACAUGCAAGUCGAGCGAACAGACGAGGAGCUUGCUCCUCUGACGUUAGCGGCGGACGGGUGAGUAACACGUGGAUAACCUACCUAUAAGACUGGGAUAACUUCGGGAAACCGGAGCUAAUACCGGAUAAUAUAUUGAACGGCAUGGUUCAAUAGUGAAAGACGGUUUUGCUGUCACUUAUAGAUGGAUCCGCGCCGCAUUAGCUAGUUGGUAAGGUAACGGCUUACCAAGGCAACGAUGCGUAGCCGACCUGAGAGGGUGAUCGGCCACACUGGAACUGAGACACGGUCCAGACUCCUACGGGAGGCAGCAGUAGGGAAUCUUCCGCAAUGGGCGAAAGCCUGACGGAGCAACGCCGCGUGAGUGAUGAAGGUCUUCGGAUCGUAAAACUCUGUUAUUAGGGAAGAACAAAUGUGUAAGUAACUAUGCACGUCUUGACGGUACCUAAUCAGAAAGCAACGGCUAACUACGUG
Molecule: ribosomal RNA, 497 nt
Filed under: uncultured bacterium
Lineage: Bacteria
Description: partial 16S ribosomal RNA
Rfam family: Bacterial small subunit ribosomal RNA
Source: RNAcentral